AAAGGGCUGCAGUAUUUUGACUGUACAAAGGUAGCAUAAUCAAUAGUCUCUUAAUUGGUGACUUGUAUGAAAGAUUGGAUGAAAUAUAAACUGUCUCUUAUUUAUAAUAAAAAUUUAAUUUUUUGAUUAAAAAGUCAAAAUAAAUUUAAAAGACGAGAAGACCCUAUAGAGUUUUAUAUUUUUUUUUAUUGAGAUUAUUUUUUAGUUUAAUAAUUAAAAUAAAAAAAAAUAUUUUAUUGGGGUGAUAAAAAAAUAUAAAAAACUUUUUUUAAUUAAAUUUCAUAAAUAAAUGAAUAAAUGAUCCAGAAUUUUUGAUUAAAAGAAAAAAUUACCUUAGGGAUAACAGCGUAAUUUUUUUUUUUAGUUCAAAUAAAAAAAAAAGUUUGCGACCUCGAUGUUGGAUUAAAAUAAAAUUUAUAUGCAAAAGUAUAAAA
This 434-nucleotide ribosomal RNA is filed under the name Aglaops youboialis. RNAcentral describes it as "partial 16S ribosomal RNA". The record is from RNAcentral. Lineage: Eukaryota; Metazoa; Arthropoda; Insecta; Lepidoptera; Crambidae.